Molecule: non-coding RNA, 45 nt
Filed under: Trichobilharzia regenti
Lineage: Eukaryota; Metazoa; Platyhelminthes; Trematoda; Strigeidida; Schistosomatidae
Source: RNAcentral
AUCCAGUUGAUGAGUCCCGAACAGGCCGAAAUGCGAAUCCUGGAU